CUAUGAAGGAUACUGUGGCUAGAAGUCGUCCUGUCGUCCUGCCUCACAGUAACAUCGUUACCGAAUUCUCAGCAGGUGAACCAAAUGAAAUGGUCAACUGAAAGCCAACCAGGGGUCUUGUCCUGUCACUCUGGCUGGAAUACAGUGGCAUAAUCAUAGCUCACUGCGGCCUCCAUCUCCUGGGUUCAAGUGAUUCUCCUGCUUCAGCUUCCCAAGUAUCUGGGACUACAGCAAAAAAUCACCAUGUACCAACCUAUCCAAACUUAUCCAUGGAUGAAUCUAUCCAGAAGACGGGAGUUCCGAUGCUUGUCUUGCUCUGAAUGUCUGCUUGUCACCUGCUUAGGGUUAUCGACUGUGAUUCUGGGACUCAUUGUUGUU
RNAcentral lists this long non-coding RNA (378 nucleotides) under Pan troglodytes (chimpanzee). RNAcentral's name for it is "lincRNA". Lineage: Eukaryota; Metazoa; Chordata; Mammalia; Primates; Hominidae. The record is from RNAcentral.